Non-coding RNA from Meleagris gallopavo (turkey), 483 nucleotides. NCBI's taxonomy places the organism in Eukaryota, Metazoa, Chordata, Aves, Galliformes, Phasianidae. The record is from RefSeq and is a predicted model, not a curated record.
CUCCAGCUCCUUCUUCAGCAAAGGCUCCACCCGGUCCCACUCCUGCCGCUCCGACACGAUCACUAUAUCUGCGCCGAGGCUCCUCUCCACACAGGAAAGGGGUCAUCAUCACCUAGCAGAGACCUGGAGCACCACUAGGAUAUUAGCACAAUUCCUGUUAAGCGUGACUGACCACUUCCUGCUCCCUUGCUGCAGCACCAGCAUUCCUUAAUGACAGGAGCACAGGGAACUGAGCUGGGGCUGAAAAAAGCUGACAUCUGGAGACACUACACAUGUACUUCAGAGACCAUGUUAUCAAGAGCAAGGGACAGGAAGACGACCCAGAACCCCUCUGUGAAGACCGCAGAACCCAAUUGCCCUGUCAGGGGGUGAAGGGUAUCUGUAAAAACUCUGUCAGAGACUCAAGAACUUACAAAAUCUGAACAAAUCUGCAAAGUUUAUUAGAAGUGUGCUGUUACAAAUAAACUGACAUCCACCUAGAAA